Molecule: ribosomal RNA, 440 nt
Filed under: uncultured bacterium
Lineage: Bacteria
Description: bacterial SSU rRNA
Rfam family: Bacterial small subunit ribosomal RNA
Source: RNAcentral
CCUACGGGAGGCUGCAGUGGGGGAUAUUGCACAAUGGGCGAAACCCUGAUGCAGCGACGCCGCGUGAGCGAAGAAGGCCUUCGGGUCGUAAGGCUCUGUCCUAUGGGACGAAAGAUGAGGUAACCAAAGGAGGAGGCCCCGGUUAACACGGGGCCAGCACCCGGGGAAAUACGAGGGGGGAGGGGUUGGUCGGGAAUGCUGGGGGGUAAGGGUGAGGAAGGCGGCCAGCUAGGUCAGAUGUGAAACGAAUAGCUUUACUCUGUGUAAGCAUUUGAAACUGUCGAGCUUGAGUCAAGGAGAGGAAAGUGGAAUUCCUGGUGUAGCGGUGAAAUGCGUAGAUAUCAGGAGGAAUACCAGUGGCGAAGGCGACUUUCUGGACUUAGACUGACGCUGAGGUACGAAAGCGUGGGGAGCAAACAGGAUUAGAUACCCGAGUAGUC